CAGUCGCCGCGGGAAUACGUAGGUGGCAAGCGUUGUCCGGAAUUAUUGGGCGUAAAGGGCUCGCAGGCGGUUUCUUAAGUCUGAUGUGAAAGCCCCCGGCUCAACCGGGGAGGGUCAUUGGAAACUGGGAAACUUGAGUGCAGAAGAGGAGAGUGGAAUUCCACGUGUAGCGGUGAGAUGCGUAGAGAUGUGGAGGAACACCAGUGGCGAAGGCGACUCUCUGGUCUGUAACUGACGCUGAGGAGCGAAAGCGUGGGGAGCGAACAGGAUUAGAUACCCCCGUAGUCCCUGUCUCUUAUAC
RNAcentral lists this ribosomal RNA (301 nucleotides) under uncultured bacterium. Its description in RNAcentral is "partial 16S ribosomal RNA". It matches the Rfam family "Bacterial small subunit ribosomal RNA", at positions 509 to 807 of the family's 1533-position model. The record is from RNAcentral.